RNAcentral lists this ribosomal RNA (484 nucleotides) under uncultured bacterium. RNAcentral's name for it is "bacterial SSU rRNA". It matches the Rfam family "Bacterial small subunit ribosomal RNA", at positions 29 to 507 of the family's 1533-position model. The record is from RNAcentral.
AUGAACGCUAGCUACAGGCUUAACACAUGCAAGUCGAGGGGCAUCACAGUGUAGCAAUACACGGGUGGCGACCGGCGCACGGGUGCGUAACACGUAUCCAAUCUGCCCGUUACUCGGGGAUAGCCUUCUGAAAGGAAGAUUAAUACCCGAUGGCAUGUAUUUCCGGCAUCGGAGAUACAUUAAAGAUUUAUCGGUAACGGAUGAGGAUGCGUACGAUUAGCUGGUUGGCGGGGUAACGGCCCACCAAGGCUACGAUCGUUAGGGGUUCUGAGAGGAAGGUCCCCCACACUGGAACUGAGACACGGUCCAGACUCCUACGGGAGGCAGCAGUGAGGAAUAUUGGUCAAUGGUCUGACGACUGAACCAGCCAUGCCGCGUGAAGGUCACGGCCCUAUGGGUCUUAAACUUCUUUUGCAAGGGAGCAAUAAGGUCUACGUGUAGAUCGAUGAGAGUACCUUGCGAAUAAGCAUCGGCUAACUCCGUG